GGGCUACACACGUGCUACAAUGGCGCAUACAAAGAGAAGCGACCUCGCGAGAGCAAGCGGACCUCAUAAAGUGCGUCGUAGUCCGGAUUGGAGUCUGCAACUCGACUCCAUGAAGUCGGAAUCGCUAGUAAUCGUGGAUCAGAAUGCCACGGUGAAUACGUUCCCGGGCCUUGUACACACCGCCCGUCACACCAUGGGAGUGGGUUGCAAAAGAAGUAGGUAGCUUAACCUUCGGGAGGGCGCUUACCACUUUGUGAUUCAUGACUGGGGUGAAGUCGUAACAAGGUAACCGUAGGGGAACCUGCGGUUGGAUCACCUCCUUACCUUAAAGAA
This 333-nucleotide ribosomal RNA is filed under the name Marinobacter vulgaris. RNAcentral's name for it is "bacterial SSU rRNA". It matches the Rfam family "Bacterial small subunit ribosomal RNA", at positions 1211 to 1533 of the family's 1533-position model. The record is from RNAcentral. Lineage: Bacteria; Pseudomonadati; Pseudomonadota; Gammaproteobacteria; Pseudomonadales; Marinobacteraceae.